Molecule: long non-coding RNA, 216 nt
Filed under: Elaeis guineensis (African oil palm)
Lineage: Eukaryota; Viridiplantae; Streptophyta; Magnoliopsida; Arecales; Arecaceae
Description: long non-coding RNA (EGUI_LNC044801)
Source: RNAcentral
AGGUGGAGGAGGUAUCAUAUCUACUGGCUCACUAUUGAGUUCAGGUUCUUGGACUCGAUGCUUUUUAGAGACAUUCUAUUCGAGCUCAAUCCUCCUUCCAUUACCUCCAUCUUGGAUAAUUUUUUUUUCAAGAAGAUGACAUGAUAGCUCAUAAUCACAUUGUGAUCUUCAGAAAGAUAGAAAUAGUAUCCCAUGAUUUUCUUAAGAUACCUUAUA